RNAcentral lists this ribosomal RNA (1141 nucleotides) under Escherichia coli. RNAcentral describes it as "partial 23S ribosomal RNA". It matches the Rfam family "Bacterial large subunit ribosomal RNA", at positions 717 to 1841 of the family's 2925-position model. The record is from RNAcentral. Lineage: Bacteria; Pseudomonadati; Pseudomonadota; Gammaproteobacteria; Enterobacterales; Enterobacteriaceae.
GAAACCCGGUGAUCUAGCCAUGGGCAGGUUGAAGGUUGGGUAACACUAACUGGAGGACCGAACCGACUAAUGUUGAAAAAUUAGCGGAUGACUUGUGGCUGGGGGUGAAAGGCCAAUCAAACCGGGAGAUAGCUGGUUCUCCCCGAAAGCUAUUUAGGUAGCGCCUCGUGAAUUCAUCUCCGGGGGUAGAGCACUGUUUCGGCAAGGGGGUCAUCCCGACUUACCAACCCGAUGCAAACUGCGAAUACCGGAGAAUGUUAUCACGGGAGACACACGGCGGGUGCUAACGUCCGUCGUGAAGAGGGAAACAACCCAGACCGCCAGCUAAGGUCCCAAAGUCAUGGUUAAGUGGGAAACGAUGUGGGAAGGCCCAGACAGCCAGGAUGUUGGCUUAGAAGCAGCCAUCAUUUAAAGAAAGCGUAAUAGCUCACUGGUCGAGUCGGCCUGCGCGGAAGAUGUAACGGGGCUAAACCAUGCACCGAAGCUGCGGCAGCGACACUAUGUGUUGUUGGGUAGGGGAGCGUUCUGUAAGCCUGUGAAGGUGGCCUGUGAGGGUUGCUGGAGGUAUCAGAAGUGCGAAUGCUGACAUAAGUAACGAUAAAGCGGGUGAAAAGCCCGCUCGCCGGAAGACCAAGGGUUCCUGUCCAACGUUAAUCGGGGCAGGGUGAGUCGACCCCUAAGGCGAGGCCGAAAGGCGUAGUCGAUGGGAAACAGGUUAAUAUUCCUGUACUUGGUGUUACUGCGAAGGGGGGACGGAGAAGGCUAUGUUGGCCGGGCGACGGUUGUCCCGGUUUAAGCGUGUAGGCUGGUUUUCCAGGCAAAUCCGGAAAACCAAGGCUGAGGCGUGAUGACGAGGCACUACGGUGCUGAAGCGACAAAUGCCCUGCUUCCAGGAAAAGCCUCUAAGCAUCAGGUAACAUCAAAUCGUACCCCAAACCGACACAGGUGGUCAGGUAGAGAAUACCAAGGCGCUUGAGAGAACUCGGGUGAAGGAACUAGGCAAAAUGGUGCCGUAACUUCGGGAGAAGGCACGCUGAUAUGUAGGUGAAGCGACUUGCUCGUGGAGCUGAAAUCAGUCGAAGAUACCAGCUGGCUGCAACUGUUUAUUAAAAACACAGCACUGUGCAAACACGAAAGUGGA